This 492-nucleotide ribosomal RNA is filed under the name uncultured bacterium. Its description in RNAcentral is "partial 16S ribosomal RNA". It matches the Rfam family "Bacterial small subunit ribosomal RNA", at positions 29 to 507 of the family's 1533-position model. The record is from RNAcentral.
AGUGAACGCUGGCGGUAGGCCUAACACAUGCAAGUCGAACGGCAGCACAGUAAGAGCUUGCUCUUACGGGUGGGGAGUGGCGGACGGGUGAGGAAUACAUCGGAAUCUACUUUUUCGUGGGGGAUAACGUAGGGAAACUUACGCUAAUACCGCAUACGACCUACGGGUGAAAGCGGGGGAUCUUCGGACCUUGCGCGAUUGAAUGAGCCGAUGUCGGAUUAGCUAGUUGGCGGGGUAAAGGCCCACCAAGGCGACGAUCCGUAGCUGGUCUGAGAGGAUGAUCAGCCACACUGGAACUGAGACACGGUCCAGACUCCUACGGGAGGCAGCAGUGGGGAAUAUUGGACAAUGGGCGCAAGCCUGAUCCAGCCAUACCGCGUGGGUGAAGAAGGCCUUCGGGUUGUAAAGCCCUUUUGUUGGGAAAGAAAAGCAGCAGGUUAAUACCCCGCUGUUCUGACGGUACCCAAAGAAUAAGCACCGGCUAACUUCGUG